UUUCGCUACCAGCGGCCGGUGUGGGCGGACGUGCAGCUCCCGGCGCGGUGGAAGUUUCUGGAAGGAAUUUCGACUACAAAUCGUAUAAGUGUUUGUCCGCGGUGUCUGGGCGGUCUCCCGGCCCGUCGGCUGCAUUGUUGACCCGAGAUUCCGGUCCAUCGUCUGAAGAAGAGCGCCCCUGAAGAAAAGGUGGCGCACUGGACGGGUGCGGUAGUCGGCAGGAGGGAGUGUGGUGCCGCUAUACAGCUGCCAGUCCACCAGCCACAGUUCUGUCCAUCAGACUCAUACCUGGACACAG
This is a long non-coding RNA of Amphibalanus amphitrite, 298 nucleotides long. RefSeq lists it as uncharacterized. The record is from RefSeq and is a predicted model, not a curated record. The transcript has 3 exons. Lineage: Eukaryota; Metazoa; Arthropoda; Thecostraca; Balanomorpha; Balanidae.